UACCAUGGUUAUUACGGGUAACGGAGAAUAAGGGUUCGACUCCGGAGAGGGAGCCUUAGAAACGGCUACCACAUCCAAGGAAGGCAGCAGGCGCGAAACUUAUCCAAUCUUGAAUAGAUGAGAUAGUGACUAAAAUAAGAAGACCAUUCCUAUGGAACGGUCAUUCCAAUGAGUUGAUCAUAAACCUUUUUCGAGGAACAAGUGGAGGGCAAGUCUGGUGCCAGCAGCCGCGGUAAUUCCAGCUCCACUAGUGUAAAUCGUCAUUGCUGCGGUUAAAAGCUCGUAGUUGAUCUGAGUUACAUGCAGUGGUUCACCUUUGGUGUUAAUCGCUGUUGUGACUAUUUGCUGGUUUUCUAUUAAAGCUUCGGCUUUUUUAGUGGCUAGCGAGUUUACUUUGAAUAAAUUAGAGUGCUCAGAACAAGCGUUUGCUUGAAUGGUCGAUCAUGGAAUAAUAAAAGAGGACUUCGGUUCUAUUUAUUGGUUCAGGAACUGAAAUAAUGGUUAAGAGGGACAAUUGGGGCAUUCGUAUCCCUGCGCGAGAGGUGAAAUUCGUGGACCGCAGGGGGACGCCCUAAAGCGAAAGCAUUUGCCAAGAAUGUCUUCAUUAAUCAAGAACGAAAGUCAGAGGUUCGAAGGCGAUUAGAUACCGCCCUAGUUCUGACCGUAAACUAUGCCAUCUAGCGAUCCGAUGGGGUAUUGUUGCCUUGUCGAGGAGCUUCCGGAAACGAAAGUCUUUCGGUUCCUGGGGUAGUAUGGUUGCAAAGCUGAAACUUAAAGAAAUUGACGGAAUGGCACCACCAGGAGUGGAGCCUGCGGCUUAAUUUGACUCAACACGGGAAAACUCACCCGGCCCGGACACCGUAAGGAUUGACAGAUUGAAAGCUCUUUCUCGAUUUGGUGGUUGGUGGUGCAUGGCCGUUCUUAGUUGGUGGAGCGAUUUGUCUGGUUUAUUCCGAUAACGAGCGAGACUCUAGCCUGCUAAAUAGUGGCUGAAUUUUCAUGUUCAGUCUACUUCUUAGAGGGAUAAGCGGUGACUAGCCGCACGAGAUUGAGCGAUAACAGGUCUGUGAUGCCCUUAGAUGUCCGGGGCUGCACGCGCGCUACAAUGGAAGAAUCAGCUGGCCUAUCCAUUGCCGAAAGGCAUUGGUAAACCGUUGAAACUCUUCCGUGACCGGGAUAGGGAAUUGUAAUUAUUUCCCUUGAACGAGGAAUUCCUAGUAAGUGUGAGUCAUCAGCUCACGCUGAUUACGUCCCUGCCAUUUGUACACACCGCCCGUCGCUGUCCGGGACUGAGCUGUCUCGAGAGGACUGCGGACUGCUGUAUCGAGGCUUUCGGGUCGCGGUAUGGCGGGAAACAGUUCAAUCGCAAUGGCUUGAACCGGGUAAAGUCGUAACAAGGUAUCUGUAGGUGAACCUGCAGAUG
RNAcentral lists this ribosomal RNA (1423 nucleotides) under Nippostrongylus brasiliensis. RNAcentral's name for it is "SSU rRNA". It matches the Rfam family "Eukaryotic small subunit ribosomal RNA", at positions 342 to 1823 of the family's 1831-position model. Lineage: Eukaryota; Metazoa; Nematoda; Chromadorea; Rhabditida; Heligmosomidae. The record is from RNAcentral.